This 374-nucleotide ribosomal RNA is filed under the name uncultured Glomeromycotina. RNAcentral's name for it is "LSU rRNA". The record is from RNAcentral. Lineage: Eukaryota; Fungi; Glomeromycota.
UUGAAAGGGAAACGAUUGAAGUCAGUCGUACCAGCGGGAAUCAACCUUUCGAGUGNGGNUUUUGGAGUUUUGAAGAGUGUCAAAACCUUUGAGAUUUCAAAAUUUUCGCUCCUUUGGUGUACUUUCUCGUGGGUAGGUUAACAUCGAUUUCGAUCAUCAUAAAAGGAUUGGAGGAAUGUAGCUUCGAUCUUGUAUUGAAGUGUUAUAGCCUUUGGUAAAUGUGAUGAUUGGGAUCGAGGAUUGCAACGAAUACCCUUUUGGGCUAUCCGCCUGAUCUCCGAUACGUGGCCUUGGCAUCGAAAGCUUGCUUAUGGUAUCAAGGUAUUACGGUCAAAAGGUUAGAACGGAUUACAUUCGUUAAGGAUGUUGACGUA